This is a non-coding RNA of Drosophila melanogaster (fruit fly), 311 nucleotides long. The record is from Ensembl. Lineage: Eukaryota; Metazoa; Arthropoda; Insecta; Diptera; Drosophilidae.
AGUCGUAAAUUGGCGCACAUCUGCAGAUGGCCACGGAUUCCCGUAUCCACUUCUCACCCAGUUACCGUUUUCCCCUUUUUCUUGGCCAUCUUCGCCGAGAUACGCAUAGAAUAUUAAUCUCUUUGCGCAUUAACUUAAAUGAAAUGACGCAAUGGCGAUAAGCGAACCGGACACAGUGGGUCGCAGGGGAAUAUUGGGUGCUCAAAUCUGGGAAAUACCAGGAAAGCAGCUGGAGAGUUCAUUUCCUAUCUCACUUAUCCUAAAAUUUCCGAAAUUAGGAAACGGUAUUUAUCUUAAUUUUCAAAUUUGUU